The sequence is a transfer RNA, 76 nucleotides long. It matches the Rfam family "tRNA". Rfam says of the family: Transfer RNA (tRNA) molecules are approximately 80 nucleotides in length. Their secondary structure includes four short double-helical elements and three loops (D, anti-codon, and T loops). Further hydrogen bonds mediate the characteristic L-shaped molecular structure. tRNAs have two regions of fundamental functional importance: the anti-codon, which is responsible for specific mRNA codon recognition, and the 3' end, to which the tRNAs corresponding amino acid is attached (by aminoacyl-tRNA synthetases). tRNAs cope with the degeneracy of the genetic code in two manners: having more than one tRNA (with a specific anti-codon) for a particular amino acid; and 'wobble' base-pairing, i.e. permitting non-standard base-pairing at the 3rd anti-codon position.
GCGCGCGUAGCUCAGUGAUAAGAGCGUCCGGUUUACACCCGGAAGGUCCCUGGUUUGAAUCCAGGCGCGCGCACCC